UACGGAGGGUGCAAGCGUUGUUCGGAAUCACUGGGCGUAAAGCGCGUGUAGGCGGCUAUCUAAGUCUGAUGUGAAAGCCCUGGGCUCAACUCAGGAAGUGCAUUGGAUACUGGAUAGCUGGAGUACCGGAGAGGAGGGUGGAAUUCCUGGUGUAGCGGUGAAAUGCGUAGAUAUCAGGAGGAACACCGGUGGCGAAGGCGUCCCUCUGGCCGGAUACUGACGCUGAGGCGCGAAAGCCAGGGGAGCAAACGGG
This 253-nucleotide ribosomal RNA is filed under the name uncultured bacterium. Its description in RNAcentral is "partial 16S ribosomal RNA". It matches the Rfam family "Bacterial small subunit ribosomal RNA", at positions 524 to 776 of the family's 1533-position model. The record is from RNAcentral.